UCAAAUUUGUUUUUUUCCUCUCUCUCUCUUUCUCUCUCUCUCUCGAUAGUUUUGGAUUCUUUUUUUUCUUCUUCUUUUUUCUGCAGCAAAGGAGGGAUCGUGGAGAUUGCAUUUUUUUUGAGGAAGAGGAGUUGUAGUAUUAUUUUUAUUUGAUAUUCCACAGGAGAUGAAAAGAAAACAUCAAAAU
Molecule: non-coding RNA, 187 nt
Filed under: Percolomonas cosmopolitus
Lineage: Eukaryota; Heterolobosea; Eutetramitea; Percolomonadida; Percolomonadidae
Source: RNAcentral